UUAAGCAUGCAGUCGACCGGUAAGGGAGAGCUUGUUUUCCCUAGAGUGCGGACUUGUUAAGUACGGUGGGUGACCUGCCUGAAAUUGGGAUAGCUAGUAGUCAUAUUACGAUAAUACCGAAUGUGCUCAUUUACAUAAAGGUAAAUGAGGAAAGGAGCUUCGGCUCCGCUUCAGGAUGGGCCCGCGUCCCAUUAGCUGGUUGGUGAGGUAAAGGCUCACCAAGGCAACGAUGGGUAUCCGGCCUGAGAGGGUGAACGGACACAUUGGGACUGAGAUACGGCCCAAACUCCUACGGGAGGCAGCAGCUAAGAAUCUUCCGCAAUGGACGAAAGUCUGACGGAGCGACGCCGUGUGAAUGAAGAAGGCCGAAAGGUUGUAAAAUUCUUUUGCAGAUGAAGAAUAAUCAUAGGAGGGAAUGCCUGUGAGAUGACGGUAAUCAUGCGAUAAGCCCGGCUAAUUAC
This 461-nucleotide ribosomal RNA is filed under the name Treponema sp. oral taxon D71. Its description in RNAcentral is "bacterial SSU rRNA". It matches the Rfam family "Bacterial small subunit ribosomal RNA", at positions 49 to 504 of the family's 1533-position model. Lineage: Bacteria; Pseudomonadati; Spirochaetota; Spirochaetia; Treponematales; Treponemataceae. The record is from RNAcentral.